GCCCGCUGCGUGCGGCCCGGCCCGGCCGGCGCUGGGCGCUUCCUGCCCGGCAUGCACAGCGCCGCAGCCCGCCCGGCACCGGGAGCGGAGCGCAGCGGGGCCGAGGGUCUGAGAGCGGCGCGGCGCUGUGCCCGCCGCCACCCACACACACAGGGCAGCCAGGCCUCGCAGAAGUCACCGCGAUGCCCAGCACCAGCUGAGUGCACCUGGGUGAUGAGCAGCCCUCAGAAGGUCCCACCCAAGGCCGAGUUUUGUGCAGUGUGUGCACAUGGUGCUUCAGCGUUAGGGCAGAGGAGGAAACGGGGUGGCGUUAUUUUUCCUCUUAAAAGUCUGCUUCUGAUUUUCCUCUUUUCAUGUUGGCUCCUAACUCCAGGAACAAUGAUGUCAUUCUUGCACGGCAGCAUCCAGAAGCACGGCAUAAACUUAAUUGAAAGGCCUGAGAUUUAUGUUAUGAUUUCAGAGAUGCAGGCGCACAAGUGAGGUUUAUAUACAUUAUACACAUACAAUGUGUUUGCAUGUGGCUGUAACAUACACACCUAGAAAUGAUAGAACUCGGGCAAAAUCGCCUUCUGAUUCCAGUUAAAUGAGUUACUUAUUGUUAAUGAAUUGUUUUAACUCUAAGCUAUGAACUAUUCAAGGUUUUUUCUUUAGUUGCAUGGAGAUAUGGUUUGGUUACUGGUUGGUAUUGGUGGCUCAUUCCAUGUACUGCUCUGCAAUGCCUUAUCCCCAAGCUGCUUACAGGUAUGACUCACCUAAGAUGAUCACUGAAGCAAGUACUUAAUUCAAUCCCUGUUUGUUCUCAGGCAAAGUCCCACUGAAGGCAAUGACAGUAGUUCUGUGCUGCACAGGGAGUUAAACACCGAGCACUGCAGCAGUGUUCCUUUAGAGCAGUGUGUUUUUUAGAGCCGGGAAGGUCUGAGUGGAGGUAAAAGAAUGAGAUCUGCUCUUUCCUUGGAUCUUCUGCAAACCACUGUGCAAAAAGGCAGAUGCAAAUAGGAGCCUGCCCUUCGCUCACUGGAGGAGUUCUCUGACCUCUUGUUCGCUGUACUGAAGCCUGCAGUAACCCUGGCAUGACUGACUGAAGGUCACUGUCCAUUCCUGUCUGCAUCGAUGAAUACCAGGGCUUUGGAGUGGUUGGAAAAGUAAACCAUAUCUUAGAUGCUAGAGGAGAUCAAACCUCUGCAUGGACUCCUGAUGUUUUAUUUUGAUUUUCAAUACGCUUUCCUUUAUUCUGUGCUUGAUACCAGACUGAAGACUGAUUUUAGCCAUGUUUCCAAUUGCUUGUUUAUACUGAUGUCAUACUGAGAUAGCUGGUGACUAACUGCUGUGAACCUUUGUCAGCAGGAGCUCUUCUAAUGGAAGCAGGAACGUUAUUCUGGGAGCAGUCUAGGGGUGCUGCUGGGCUGUGUAGGGAUGGGACCAGAAAGGCCAAGGCCCAGCUGGAACUGGACUUGUCUACUUGUGCAUUACUUGCUAUACACGUUUAUACGUAUCUAUAUAUUUGUCAUUAUCUUUUUCAUUAUCUCAGUAAAUAGUUUUAUCUCAA
This is an RNA transcript of Coturnix japonica (Japanese quail), 1546 nucleotides long. RefSeq lists it as uncharacterized. Lineage: Eukaryota; Metazoa; Chordata; Aves; Galliformes; Phasianidae. The record is from RefSeq and is a predicted model, not a curated record.